GGAUUAAGGAAGAAAAAUUCAUUCAUAUAAAAACCUAAAGAAGAUUUCCCGAUAAUUCCAUCCAAUCGUUAGAAUAUUAGAGAUGGGGAGAAAGUAGACUAAUAUUCAUUGAGUUAUUCCAUUUACUCUUUUAAGAGGACACCUGGAACAAUAGCUAUAAAUUGAAACGGCAUAUAUAAAAUAAAAGAAGACCUUUCGUCAACAUGGAUGCUGGUGCUUGGUCAUCCUAAUUUCAUUGUCCAUGGCUUUCUUCUUCAGACCCAGGAAGUGGAAAUCCCUUGGAGAAUCCUCAUGACCCCAAUUGGAGUUUUCUUGGCAGAGAUGCUGGAGUAGUUUUACAGAUGAAGAAACUGAGGCAAGCAGAGUUAAUGGAUUUGCCCAGGGUCACAUAGCUAAAACCAAUUGAAGCCUUUCAAAUUGCCUAGCACUGCCCAAAGGGGGUGGAGGGACAGUGGCCUUUGGAGUUGUGAGCUUACUCUAGUAAGUGACUUGUGAACUCUCACACUUAAUGACACAGUUCAACUUCUGGAGGGUCUAUCACAGUAAACACCGUCUAAACGGAUGUGCUGAGAGGCUGCUUACUGUAAGGAAAUUACAUGGUGACUCAUUAGAGCAGGUAAGGACUAUAGAAAUCCCAUGUUCCGAGGUUGACUUUUCCAGAUAAUUUGAUUCAAUUUGAGCAAUAUUUAUUAUUAUUGUGUUCUAGGAACUGGG
This 714-nucleotide long non-coding RNA is filed under the name Monodelphis domestica (gray short-tailed opossum). RNAcentral's name for it is "lncRNA (ENSMODG00000045044.1)". The record is from RNAcentral. Lineage: Eukaryota; Metazoa; Chordata; Mammalia; Didelphimorphia; Didelphidae.